GUGUCAGCAGCCGCGGUAAUACGGAGGGUGCGAGCGUUAAUCGGAAUUAUUGGGCGUAAAGGGUGCGUAGGUGGUUUAAUAAGUUAACUGUGAAAGACCCGGGCUCAACCUGGGGGUGUGAGUUAAGACUGUUGAACUAGAGUAUAGGAGAGGGUAGUGGAAUUUCCGGUGUAGCGGUGAAAUGCGUAGAGAUCGGAAGGAACACCAGUGGCGAAGGCGGCUACCUGGCCUAAUACUGACACUGAGGCACGAAAGCGUGGGGAGCAAACAGGAUUAGAUACCCUGGUAGUCC
RNAcentral lists this ribosomal RNA (292 nucleotides) under uncultured bacterium. RNAcentral's name for it is "partial 16S ribosomal RNA". It matches the Rfam family "Bacterial small subunit ribosomal RNA", at positions 505 to 796 of the family's 1533-position model. The record is from RNAcentral.